GUGAGGAAUAUUGGUCAAUGGACGGAAGUCUGAACCAGCCAUGCCGCGUGCAGGAAUAAGGUCCUAUGGAUUGUAAACUGCUUUUAUUCGGGAAUAAACCUCUUUACGUGUAGGGAGCUGAAGGUACCGAAGGAAUAAGCACCGGCUAACUCCGUGCCAGCAGCCGCGGUAAUACGGAGGUUGCAAGCGUUAUCCGGAAUCAUUGGGUUUAAAGGGUCCGCAGGCGGGCUAUCAAGUCAGAGGUGAAAUCCCACAGCUUAACUGUGGAACUGGCUGUGAAACUGAUGGUCUUGAAUUAAGUGGGCGUUGGCGGAAUAUGACAUGUAGCGGUGAAAUGCAUAGAUAUGUCAUGGAACACCGAAAGCGAAGGCAGCUAACGAUACUUAUAUUGACGCUCAUGGACGAAAGCGUGGGUAGCGAACAGGAUUAGAUACCCUGGUAGUCC
Molecule: ribosomal RNA, 445 nt
Filed under: uncultured bacterium
Lineage: Bacteria
Description: partial 16S ribosomal RNA
Rfam family: Bacterial small subunit ribosomal RNA
Source: RNAcentral